RNAcentral lists this ribosomal RNA (520 nucleotides) under uncultured Glomus. Its description in RNAcentral is "SSU rRNA". It matches the Rfam family "Eukaryotic small subunit ribosomal RNA", at positions 569 to 1092 of the family's 1831-position model. Lineage: Eukaryota; Fungi; Glomeromycota; Glomeromycetes; Glomerales; Glomeraceae. The record is from RNAcentral.
AGCAGCCGCGGUAAUUCCAGCUCCAAUAGCGUAUAUUAAAGUUGUUGCAGUUAAAAAGCUCGUAGUUGAAUUUCGGGGUUAGUAGAUUGGUCAUGCCUUUGGUAUGUACUGGUCUUACUGAUUCCUCCUUCCUGAUGAACCGUAAUGCCAUUAAUUUGGUGUUGCGGGGAGACUGGACUGUUACUUUGAAAAAUUAGAGUGUUUAAAGCAGGCUAACGCUUGAAUACAUUAGCAUGGAAUAAUGAAAUAGGACGUUCGAUCUUAUUUUGUUGGUUUCUAGGAUUGACGUAAUGAUUAAUAGGGAUAGUUGGGGGCAUUAGUAUUCAAUUGUCAGAGGUGAAAUUCUUGGAUUUAUUGAAGACUAACUACUGCGAAAGCAUUUGCCAAGGAUGUUUUCAUUAAUCAAGAACGAAAGUUAGGGGAUCGAAGACGAUCAGAUACCGUCGUAGUCUUGACCAUAAACUAUGCCGACUAGGGAUCGGAUGAUGUUAAUUUUUAAUGACUCAUUCGGCGCCUUAAC